Molecule: long non-coding RNA, 1090 nt
Filed under: Homo sapiens (human)
Lineage: Eukaryota; Metazoa; Chordata; Mammalia; Primates; Hominidae
Description: HSALNT0190876
Source: RNAcentral
ACAGAGGGCUUUGACCCAUAUGUCUCAGGCCUCAUCAGCAUGACUACAGAAUAGAGACAUUUAUUUAUUUAUUUUGUAAUUGCCUAAAUUACGAAAUUGUGUACUCCCCUCCUUUUCUUGCCCAAAUGCUAAAAACUGGAACCCCCUACCUCAACUGCUCUCUCAGUAUUCUGAGAGCUCUCAGUGUCAGGUUUCACUGUUCCUCCCUCCUCCACUCCCCAGGUCUCUGUCUUCCUCUGCGCUGUCAUGACCUUCGGGGCUGGGCUGCUGUGAUCAUCCCUGCCACCUUCCAGAGACCACUCUCAUACCCUCUGCUUGAUCUCAGAAAAUAGACCUCUGCCCUCCUGUUUUCCAGCUUGUCUGAACUGUAUGUAGCACAGGCCCUUCCAUAAUUCCCCGUAAUACAACUGAGGCCAACCACGUUGCCUGUCCUGAGAAAACUCAAAGACAAUGGUGCCAAGGAAGAACAGAAUUUCAUAAAUGAAGAAUGACAGAUGGCACUAAGAGUUCAAGUAAGGUUUCCAAGCAUGAAGCAGACCCAGCUCAGGGAAAGAGAAAAGGUUUAAAUUGGAAGAGUCUUGGAGAUUCUCAGCAAACAAUCUCAGUUAAGAAAGAGGAAAUGAAGUUAUUUAUGUGACUGAAUUUGCAUAGCAGAGACUACAGUUCCACCAAAUACUCGAUGAGAAAAUGAGUCUCGACUUGCAGAGCCAAGAUGACCAAAUAGGAACAGCUCCAGUCUACAGCUCCCAGCCUGAGCGACGCAGAAGAUGGGUGAUUUCUGCAUUUCCAUCUGAGGUACCGGGUUCAUCUCACUAGGAAGUGCCAGAGAGUGGGCGCAGGUCAGUGGGUGCGUGCACCGUGCGCGAGCCGAAGCAGGGUGAGGUGUUGCCUCACUCGGGAAGCGCAUGGGGUCAGGGAGUUCCCUUUCCUAGUCAAAGAAAGGGGUGACGGACGGCACCUGGAAAAUCGGGUCACUCCCACCCUAAUACUGUGCUUUUCUGACGGGCUUAAAAAAACGGCACACCAGGAGAUUAUAUCCCGCACAUGGCUCGGAGGGUCCUAUGCCCACGGAGUCUCACUGAUUGCUAGC